RNAcentral lists this ribosomal RNA (269 nucleotides) under Glomus sp. (unid). Lineage: Eukaryota; Fungi; Glomeromycota; Glomeromycetes; Glomerales; Glomeraceae. The record is from RNAcentral.
CAGUCAUGUCUGCCAGGACUCAGCCUUGCUUCUGCUUGGUGUACUCUCUGGUUUGACGGGCCAACAUCAAUUUUGACCGUUGGAGAAAGGCUUUGGGAAUGUGGCACCCUCGGGUGUGUUAUAGCCCUUUGUUGUAUACAACGGUUGGGAUUGGAGGACUGCAGCACGCCUUUGGUCGGGGUUCGCCCACGCCACGUGCUUAGGAUGCUGGCAAAAUGGACUUUAAACGACCCGUCUUGAAACACGGACCAAGGAGUCUAACAUAUAUG